This 492-nucleotide ribosomal RNA is filed under the name uncultured bacterium. RNAcentral's name for it is "partial 16S ribosomal RNA". It matches the Rfam family "Bacterial small subunit ribosomal RNA", at positions 29 to 507 of the family's 1533-position model. The record is from RNAcentral.
AGUGAACGCUGGCGGUAGGCCUAACACAUGCAAGUCGAACGGCAGCACAGUAAGAGCUUGCUCUUACGGGUGGCGAGUGGCGGACGGGUGAGGAAUACAUCGGAAUCUACUUUUUCGUGGGGGAUAACGUAGGGAAAAUUACUCUAAUACCGCAUACGACCUACGGGUGAAAGCAGUGGAUCUUCGGACCUUGCGCGAUUGAAUGAGCCGAUGUCGGAUUAGCUAGUUGGCGGGGUAAAGGCCCACCAAGGCGACGAUCCGUAGCUGGUCUGAGAGGAUGAUCAGCCACACUGGAACUGAGACACGGUCCAGACUCCUACGGGAGGCAGCAGUGGGGAAUAUUGGACAAUGGGCGCAAGCCUGAUCCAGCCAUACCGCGUGGGUGAAGAAGGCCUUCGGGUUGUAAAGCCCUUUUGUUGGGAAAGAAAAGCAGCAGGUUAAUACCCCGCUGUUCUGACGGUACCCAAAGAAUAAGCACCGGCUAACUUCGUG